Molecule: ribosomal RNA, 169 nt
Filed under: uncultured bacterium
Lineage: Bacteria
Description: partial 16S ribosomal RNA
Rfam family: Bacterial small subunit ribosomal RNA
Source: RNAcentral
CCUACGGGAGGCAGCAGUGAGGAAUCUUCCACAAUGGGCGAAAGCCUGAUGGAGCGACACCGCGUGAAGGAUGAAGGUUUAACGAUUGUAAACUUCUUUUCUGGAGGAGCAUAAUGAGAGUACUCCAGGAAUAAGGGGCGGCAAAUCACGUGCCAGCAGCCGCGGUAAU